UGGCUUUGAUCUUUAAUGCAUCAUAUAUCAUUUCCAAAAGGCAGCGUCAGCCAUCCUGGACGCGGCGUUUGCAGCGAGGAUGGAUGGAGGGGAGACAAUCCGUACCUGAGAGCAGGGUAUCCCAUCCGUACUUGAUGGAUUAAUACGAAUCCUGGCAUAUCUUUUCACCAACUUUACAAUUUACUACCCAUAUUUGUAUUUGCCACGUCAAUCAAUAAAGUAAACUUGCAUACUAGUAACUAUGAUGAU
Molecule: long non-coding RNA, 249 nt
Filed under: Elaeis guineensis (African oil palm)
Lineage: Eukaryota; Viridiplantae; Streptophyta; Magnoliopsida; Arecales; Arecaceae
Description: long non-coding RNA (EGUI_LNC036249)
Source: RNAcentral